AUUCGUAACAGGUGGCGCAGCCCAGUCCAUUUUACUAGAAGAGCCUCUUUUUCUGGCCUUCUCCUGCGUCGCUUCGACAAGCAAGAUAUCCCCGGAAGAUAAAGAACUUGCCAGAAUGGGAGGAAAACACAAAGAAAGAAGAAACUCGCCAAAUGGGCAGGACCAUGGACAACAGAAUGAACCCUGGAGGACAUUUGUCUCUUCAUGGAGAUGAGCACCUGCCCAUGGGGAAGGGAAGUGAAAGAGGAAGUCACUGUCACUGUGGUGGAACUCAGUCUCCUUGCUAAAGGAGCAAACAGUGAACGAUGUAGUUUCUACAUCCAAGCUGGUGUGUAGGAUGCCGUCCUGCAGCUCCUACUUGCGUGGGGUUCCACGAACCGAGGAUUUGGAAACCUGUAAUGGGUGGCAGAGAAAAGAGACACGACGCCAGGAGAA
Long non-coding RNA from Mastomys coucha (southern multimammate mouse), 435 nucleotides. RefSeq lists it as uncharacterized. Lineage: Eukaryota; Metazoa; Chordata; Mammalia; Rodentia; Muridae. The record is from RefSeq and is a predicted model, not a curated record. The transcript has 2 exons.